GACGAACGCUGGCGGCGUGCUUAACACAUGCAAGUCGUACGGUAAGGCCUUUUCGGGGGUACACGAGUGGCGAACGGGUGAGUAACACGUGAGUAACCUGCCCACAACUUUGGGAUAACGCUAGGAAACUGGUGCUAAUACUGGAUAUGUGCUCCUGCUGCAUGGUGGGGGUUGGAAAGCUCCGGCGGUUGUGGAUGGACUCGCGGCCUAUCAGCUUGUUGGUGGGGUAGUGGCCUACCAAGGCGGCGACGGGUAGCCGGCCUGAGAGGGUGACCGGCCACAUUGGGACUGAGAUACGGCCCAGACUCCUACGGGAGGCAGCAGUGGGGAAUAUUGCACAAUGGGCGCAAGCCUGAUGCAGCAACGCCGCGUGCGGGAUGACGGCCUUCGGGUUGUAAACCGCUUUCAGCAGGGACGAAGCUUUUUGUGACGGUACCUGCAGAAGAAGCACCGGCUAACUACGUG
This 465-nucleotide ribosomal RNA is filed under the name uncultured bacterium. RNAcentral's name for it is "partial 16S ribosomal RNA". It matches the Rfam family "Bacterial small subunit ribosomal RNA", at positions 28 to 507 of the family's 1533-position model. The record is from RNAcentral.